AGUCGAUGUUCGUGCGCUAUGUAGUUCGAUGGGCUAAUCACACAUCCUCCAUGUGAGCACCUGAAGCAAGCUCUGUGGUAUGAUUUACUAUCCACUGCCACCUUCUCAAUUGGAUAAACAGUUUUCUUGCAAGUAACACAUUUAUCUUGAGUUCCAGCAAAUAAACUUGACACUUUGCUGUUGGAUUGGACCUGAUUGGUAGAUCUGUCUGUUCUAAGGGUUCUUGGAGUACCUUCAAAACUUUUUUCUAAGCUUCCAGUCAUCUUGAACAACUGAUCAAAGUGA
RNAcentral lists this unclassified non-coding RNA (285 nucleotides) under Hevea brasiliensis (rubber tree). Lineage: Eukaryota; Viridiplantae; Streptophyta; Magnoliopsida; Malpighiales; Euphorbiaceae. The record is from RNAcentral.